AAAUAGGAAGCUAAAAGCAUUUAAUUUCGACUUAAAAUUUGGGUAUUAAAAAUUUCCCCCUAUUUA
Molecule: transfer RNA, 66 nt
Filed under: Silo nigricornis
Lineage: Eukaryota; Metazoa; Arthropoda; Insecta; Trichoptera; Goeridae
Description: tRNA-Arg
Source: RNAcentral